RNAcentral lists this ribosomal RNA (446 nucleotides) under uncultured bacterium. Its description in RNAcentral is "partial 16S ribosomal RNA". It matches the Rfam family "Bacterial small subunit ribosomal RNA", at positions 338 to 795 of the family's 1533-position model. The record is from RNAcentral.
CCUACGGGGGGCAGCAGUCGAGAAUCAUUCACAAUGGGGGAAACCCUGAUGGUGCGACGCCGCGUGGGGGAAUGAAGGUCUUCGGAUUGUAAACCCCUGUCAUGUGGGAGCAAAUUAAAAAGAUAGUACCACAAGAGGAAGAGACGGCUAACUCUGUGCAAGCAGCCGCGGUAAUACAGAGGUCUCAAGCGUUGUUCGGAAUCACUGGGCGUAAAGCGUGCGUAGGCUGUUUCGUAAGUCGUGUGUGAAAGGCGCGGGCGCAACCCGCGGACGGCAGCUGAUACUGCGAGACUAGAGUAAUGGAGGGGGAACCGGAAGUCUCGGUGUAGCAGUGAAAUGCGUAGAUAUCGAGGGGAACACUCGUGGCGAAGGCGGGUUCCUGGACAUUAACUGACGCUGAGGCACGAAGGCCAGGGGAGCGAAAGGGAUUAGAUACCCGGGUAGUC